CCUGCUGUUCGAGUGCUUAAUA
This 22-nucleotide microRNA is filed under the name Capitella teleta. RNAcentral's name for it is "Cte-Mir-252-P2_3p* (star (passenger))". Lineage: Eukaryota; Metazoa; Annelida; Polychaeta; Capitellidae. The record is from RNAcentral.